Equus caballus (horse) is the source of this 7393-nucleotide non-coding RNA. The record is from RefSeq and is a predicted model, not a curated record. Lineage: Eukaryota; Metazoa; Chordata; Mammalia; Perissodactyla; Equidae.
UCCCAUAGUCCUUAGGGCAGGAUCGCCUUCGUUUCCCAGAGGGCUGUGCGAUGUUCGCCCUCAGCGUCGUGGAAAAAAGGCAAACGAGAGGGGAUGUACUCUUUAACGUUGCUUUAUAACCAAGUUUCCCAUCCUUCGCUCUUCUAUCCCUCUUCUCUGUCUCCAAUGCCUCUUUUCUUUGGGCUUCAGGAGCCCAAAUACCCCGGGACUCGUCUCCUGGGCAACGUUACCGCUUCGUUGCCGCGCGACCACAAGCGGAGUGUGCUCGGAGCCUUCUGGGAAAUGUAGUUCGGCCUCCCCGGGGCCCCGGCCCAGACUAAUGGCUCUGCCUCCUCGGGCCCCAGAACCAACGGCUGGAUGUGCGGUCACGUGACCGGCCCGUCUGGAAGCCGGGGGAGUGGGGGCUGUUCUGCGCCAGGCCACCAGCAGGCCCAGGCCGCGGAAGGUCGCAGAGCCGGCGCCGGCCCGUCUCCGUGGUAACCGGCUCGCCGCAGAGGCCUCUGGGAAUUGUAGUUGGGCGGGGUGGGGCCCGCGCCGCUGCCGUUAGCGCUCGCCGCCGCGGUGAGAGCGGGCGCGGUAGCCGCAGCCCGGCCCGGCCUUCGGCGGCGAGGGUUCCCGGCGUCCGGGGCGGGCUCCUCCGCGGUACCGCGGCCACCGAGCAUCCCGGCAGAAAGUUUUUGAAAUAUAAAGAAGCAUUUCUCUGAAAUUUAACCCUCCCACAGUACAAGUGACCUUCCUUGGGGACUUUUCCAGCCAGGAAUGAUCACAGCCGCGAGGGGGUCUGUAUCCUUGGACCCCCAGGCCCCUCAAAAGCAGGACAGAAUUGUGGUGGUGAAGGUGGAGGCAGAGGGCCACUUUAUCCUCGCAGCCGGGAGCUGGCCCACGCGCGCUUCAGACGGUUCUACCACCAGGAGACCAGGAGAUUUGCCACCCGGUGAGGUUCUGCGAUGCCCCCAUGAGCUCUGCCACCAGGGGCUGAGGCUGGAGAGACAUCGCAAGCUGCCCAUCCUGGAGCUGCUGAUGCUGGAGCAGUUCCUGGCCAUCCUGCCCCCGGGGCUGCAGAGCUGGGGCUGGGAGCGCCCUGGGCCGUGGAGAGGAGCUGGCUAUGACGGACCGGAAGUUUCCUGGGGGCAGAGGGCAUCUCCACCACCGGCACAAGAACCACCACGCGUCGGCACAAGAACCACCACGCGUCGCCAGCUUCAGCCAGUGACACCCAGUUCAAACGCAGAUCUUGGGAGCUCCACCCCCUCCAAGCCAGUGCCUCAUUUUUCAUCGUGGUGUCACAUGCCGCCGUUCAUGUCAUGGGUCCCCUGUGAUCGGCAGGGGUUUUAUCUCCACAGCCACCUUUGCACAGCAAUAAUAUUUGGAUUCUCUCCGUCUGGGUUCCGAUGGUGACCUCAGGACUGAGGACGGCUUCAGCUCAGAUCAGGAACUUGCUGAAGGAAGGCCUCCCCAGUGACUCAAGCAGACUCCAGGGAAGCUCUGCAGGCGCCAGAGCUGGGAGGCCCGCAGAAUGUUCCAGGCCCUUGGGCUGCCUCAGGGAACCUCCCAGAGAGCAGGCUGAGCAGCCAUCCUGCCCAAGAGAGGAGUUUCAAGCAGGAGAGAGAAGAGACAAGCCAUGAAGGUGACAAGUGACAAGCCUGCAGGCCAGACUUAGAGGAAGCUCUCUGAGGAAGAACCGUGUCUUGUCCUUCAUAUGUCUGCGGCCCCUCUGAGCCUGAGAGACUCAGGACGGUCUGUGGCUUGGCCACUGUGUGCGGCUGCGGACCCUGCGAUUGAAGCAGACAGAUCUGUGGUUCAGGGCAGUCGUGGAUGGAGAUGCAGACGUAGUCUGCCUUCCCUGGACGGUUGUCGGUCCUUCUCUUCCAGGACACACGGAAGGAAGGUGAUCUUGUCCCUCCCGCCACCCCUUCCCCCGCCCCCCAGGCCGGUCGGCCAUGUUGGCCCUGAUACUCAAGGUUCUGGAUGCGUGGUCCCCCUGCCUCAGCUCUGCCUGGAGACGUUGCCAGCCCCCACGCUCUGUGCUAAUCCUGGGCGUGACCUUGGGGUGGAGGAGGCAGGGAGCAAGCAAGAAAGCAGUAUUGUUGCAGGGCCGUGUGGUUAAGUAUGGCUGGUUCAGAGAGCACCUUCAAUGUCAACUUGGAGCUCUUUGAGGGCACAGCCUAUGCCUGAGGCGUCUAUGUCCGCAUGCCUGGCUCAGCACCAGCACGUAGUAGGUACUCAUCUGGGGUGGAGCAGGAGUAUGCUUCUGUAGUCACCAGCAACCACGGGGGUCACGAGGGAGCGAAGAGAACAGAUGUUAGUGACUGGCCUGAAGUCCCGCCUGUGCCUCCCCGGCCCCUGAGGGGGACAGCAUCCCCUCGGUCUAUGGUGAAGUUCUGGGGUCCAAGCAAAAACGCAGAAAAGCCCCCUUGUCUUUUGUUAGCUGCAAAAUCUCCAUCUCCCCUCAAAAACGGGGACCGAUUCUGUGUAUGCAUUCAGUUUUCCGUAGCCUUGGAGCUCUCUAACUGUCUUUAAAAGCUAAUAGGUUAGAAAUGUUCUCGGUGGGAUGGUGAGAGCUGGUCCCUAAAGUUGGCAGUCCCCAUCAGAACUGCAUUUCCUAGGAACCCAGGGCUGCUUCUCAACAGCUGACCCUUGAACCUGGUGCAGUCAGGAGCGGGUCACUGAGCCUCAGGGAAGGAGAGUGAGGCGGGGCCCUUGCUGGCGGCCUCUUCGUCUGCUUUCCACAGGCCUCGGAGCUCACCCCGUCGUCUCUGGGCAGGAGGACAGCUGGCCCCCGGGUUUUUGUGCCCCGGCCUUGGUGGACCAUGGCUGGGAUGUCAUUUAUGGUGGGUCUCCAGAAUACCCUCUCAAAGCGCUCUCCUAAGACCAGAUUGAAUAGAAAUUAUGGAAACGGGUAGAGGAGAUCGAAAUGGAUCACCAAUUGGAGACUGUCGGGAGCAGGGGCCUGGAGGGACGGGUGGCUCUGAGCUCAGCGCCCCUAGGGAACUGGUGAAGGCUGCUCCUCAGAAGCUGUUCCAAAGGCUUCUGGGAAACUUGCUCGAGAAACUAGGUCAAGAAGGAAAGCCGUAAAGUGCUUCACGGUGUGUAAAUACACCCCCAUCCCCAUUGCCCCGUGCAGAGGACACCAGUAGAGUCCCCGUCCUGACCAGCCCAGCCAGCCUCUGUGCGCUGGCAAGCUGCUCUGCUCCCUGGGCCUCUGGCCCCGCUCACCGAGAGGCUAACACUGACCAGUGCAGCAACUAGGGGGCGUGUAGUGCUGGCUCUGCCGCGUGUUCCCCGAGCAGUAUCUCAUUUCAUCCUCCCAACAGCCCUGUGACACGGGAGGUUUCUCUCCUCAUGGUACAAAUGAGAAGGUAAGACUCAGAGAGGUUAAAUAACUUGCCCAAGGUCAUGCAGCUAACAAGUCGAGGGGCAAGCAUUCAAGUCCAGGUCUGACCCCCCAACGCCUUUCAAAGUCCUAGUUUGCCCGUGGCAGGACUUGUAAUUCCGUGCACCGGACUAACCAGUCCACUUUCCAUCCUAUUCACUGGCCAUAGUGAAAUGGUCCUGCUUCCACACUCUCUUCUUCAGCCUGUCAGGGCCGCAGAUGGUUUCUCAGAGGCCAGGAGCGGUCAGGACGGGGCGCUCCCAUCCCUAUUAAAGCCGUGUUCAUGAGGAACGUCAGGCUUUCUGCCGGCAGCCCCUGGAAUUUCUGCUGUGGGAAUUCGGGAGAUCCUCGAGUCAUGGCCCGCUCAAGAAUCGGUGGUUGUGUCUCAAUUCUGUAAGUCAGGUAUUCGGGCAGAGCAAGGCAGGAACAAUUUAGUUCUGCUCCGCCCUGUCUGAGCCUCAGCUGAAGUGGCCCCACUGACUGUAUUUGACUGGGGCGGUUUGACUGGCCAUAGGUCAGAGGCCUUGCUUCUGUCUGCCAGCUGGAUUCCUCCCCAGUUGUCCAUGAGGCGGUCACUGAAGUGGGGCUGAAAUGUCCAAAAUAGCUUUUGCUUUCAUGUCUCUGCUGCCUCUGCGUGCUCCCGUGAAGCCCCUCUCCACAGAGUAGCCUAAUCUUAUAUUGUUGCUCUGGGCUCCACAAACCCCCUAUCCAUGCUCUUCUCUCCUCUCCUCUGCACCUGUCCCAGCCCACAGCCCGUGUGUGGGGAGCUGUCUCGUUCAGCCGCCGUGGCCAUGGCUGUGUUGUACCACGCGACCCUGCUCUUUGCCCCUUCCCCCCCACCCCCACACCAGUCAUUGGACCAGGAUCCGUUACAGGCUGGCCAACGAUUUUGGAAGUCACCUGACUCGAAAAUACAAGGAAAAGCCAGUCAGACCAGCCAGAGUCCCUUUUGGGAAGUUUGAAUCAAAAAAUCAGAGAGGAUAGGCAGUGUGUGACAAGAUGUCACGAGGGCAAGUAGGGCCUGGCUGGACCAGUGUGCUGGCCAGGAUUAAAAGAAGAUUAAAUGAAGAAGAAAGUUAGAGGUUGAAGAAAAACAAAAACAAGCUCUGACUUGGAGAGGAUACCCUUACCGGGGAGGGACCAGUGAGCCUGAUUUUGGCAAGAGGAUAGAGGAGGGAAUGACGAGGGCAGAGCUGGGACUCUGUGAGAGGCAGAGAGGGCAGUCCGCCCGGGAGGCACCCUUGUGCCCCACAGCUCACUAGGUCCAGCCUCGCCUGUGUGUGUCAUUGCAGCAAGCUCUUUACUUUGGUGUCAGUUGGCUUGCUGGUGGGCAUGUGACUUCAUUCUGCCAAUAAAACUUAUGAAGGAAUGGCUGGGGGACCUUCUAGUAAGAAUUUUGCUUUUUGAUUAAAAGAGAGAGAGUGAAGAGGCCUGUCCGUUCUUCCUGCUUUGAACGUGGAUGUUUAAGGGCAUGAUACUUGGAGCUGCAGCAGCCAUUUUGAGACCAGGAGGCAACAAGACCAAGGGAAAAACCAACAUACCGAGGUUGGCUGAGCAGACAGACAAAAAGAGCCUGGGUCCUUGAUGGUAUUGUUGAGCCACUCCACCUGUCCUGGAACCCCUAUUUCCAUUCUUAUUGAUAUAUUCGUUAAAUGUCUUUAUUUUGCAAGCAGAUUUCUGCUACAUGCAGCCUAAGGCAGUCUUAACCAGUAUAGCACUCCUCUGACCUCUUCAUCCUCUAACUCUGAACAACUCCUUCGAGCCCCGUGGUUCUUGGUGUAGCUCCAAAUAGAAAGUCAGCCCAAGUUCAGACUUUGGAAAUCUUACUCAUAUGGUAGGAAAUAAAAGUCAAGAUUGCUCACAGCCGACAGAGCAAUUCUGGCACUUAGCCCUGACCCCUGGCCCCUACAGGACACAGACAAGGAAAGAAAGGUAGGUUAAGGAAAGUUCUAGAUGCAUGAGUCUUCUAAAAUGGGGCUUCAUGAUGAACUUUAGAAAGAAGAUCAGUUUGUGUAUUGGGCUCAAGGAUUAAUGUCUGAGAUGCAGAACGUAAGUACAGGCCAGAAAGCCAUGGAAAGCAUGCGGAAGGAGCCGCAGUGGCUGCCUGGAAUGGGCAGGUGGUGGGCGGGUUGGAUGACUCGUGCAGAAGGAGGCCAGUGAGCACAGCAGGAGUUUAUGAGCUCCAAGUACCAGCUGGAAGGAGUUUAUGGCAGCUAGAGUGAAACCGGUGGAAAAUGAGGCCUUUUAGUUACUCCCCAGCCAGCCUGAGUGACACUGUAGAUCCUUUUAGGAAUGAGGUGCCCUGAAUUGUGGCCGUCCUGUGUGUGGGCACGCCCACGCUCUUCGUUCUUUGUCUCUCUUCCACCACCCCCUUUUUUUUCUGCCAUUUCUUCCUGUCUUCUCGAAGCAAAGCCAGGAGCCAGGAUCCCUUCCACCUCAAUGGGAGAGUGGAUGUCGCGGGAGGCAAGGAUGUCUUGGGAAGACUGAAUCCUAGCCUGGGCAUGGCGGUUAGGUUGGAGGAGAGAACGCAGUCGGUUGACAAGGAGCAGAGGAAGCUUUCUUCUGACCCACCUUUCAUCAGGCAGUGUGGUUUUUGUGUUUCUUCAGCACAAAAAAAUGUACCUGAUCCUUCCCUCAUGAAAUGAGAAGUUGAACUCAAGAAUGCUAGCCCUCCCUCUUUCAGUUUCUAGCUUUAGAUACGUACCAGAGAUAAACUGGCAUCCUCCUCAGGUACCCCACAAAGACAGAUUACUCCAUUCCCUUCAGAACUCUGGAAAAGUCACCCACCCGGUUCCCAUCUCGAGAUAAUCUUCAGCGGUAUAGAGAUGGGGCCCGUAGAAGUUCAUCACAUUAAUGGGGCCCAAACAUGGAUGUGUUGCGAUGAUAUUAGAAUUUGCUGCCUCAGAUUCUGCCACUAAGCCUCAGGCCUCAGCACAGUCCUUAUGCGUAUCUUAUGGAUACAGAGCCCGCGUGUCUUCUGGAGUCCUGCCCCAGAGGUCAAGACCAGGCCAACCCUUUUACCUACUACAUUACUUAAUUCAUUCAGCAGAAAUGUACUGAAUGAAUACCUAGUAGAAGUAAAAGUUAAGCUUAUAAAAGCAGUGAUAAUAUUAGGAAGAUAAGUCAUUAAAGACCAAAAAAAUCCCGUGAGAUAAUCAGAGAAAGGAACGAACGCUUUGGUUGGGAUGGAGAAAGCAAAAAGUUGAAAUCCUUAGUUUGAUAGGAUUGAUGCUUUAAUGUGAAACUUAAUAAGCCCUAAGUCCCCCGUGAAGUUUCCCCCUAUAUCACUAAGGAUUCUCUGAAAUCCAGCAAGGAAGAAACUGAAGGCUUUUCCUCAUUCUUGACAAGCAAGCUUUUUCUCCAGUGUGAAUUAGCCUGAUUACUGACUAAAUAAUCGCCCGCAAUCUUGACAACACGAGAGUCUUUCUUUCCUGUGAGUCCUCCCAUGAUGAGAAAGAGCUACACCAGCCCCACGUGAUUUUCCACAGUGAUUAUGCUCCCAGGCUUCUCUCCAGGCUGGAUGACCCUCCACACUUCCUCUAGAUGAUUCUCCAGCUUCAUCACAAAUGACCGGCUGAGUCCGGAGCAAAUUAGCUGACGUUGUCUGCGGGUGGGACACUGACUGAAGGUUCCUUCUCACCCAUUGUGCUCACAGGGCUCCUCUCUGCUCUGAAAUCCCAGAUGUCUAAUUAGCUCUGAGCACCGUCUGAAAGCAUUUUUACAUCCAUUACGUGCAUAUGGUUUUUCUCCAGUGUGAAUUCUCUGACGUUGAAUGAGCUUUACUUUGCUGAAAGCCCUCACAUUUAUUGCAUUUGUAGAGUUCCUAUUGCAUGUGAAUUAGCUGCUGCCAUGUGGUGCUGGGAUGCUGGCAGAUGCCUCCCGCAAACGGGGAUUCUCUCCAAGAUGAAUGUUACAAUGUUCAGUAGGAUGGGAGCCCCGAGGAAAGCUGCCUGUAUUCAUAACAAAGAUGUUCUCUCCGAUAUGAAUACUGUAAUACUGAAUAAAUUCUCAAUUCUAAGA